AGGGAAUCUUCCGCAAUGGACGAAAGUUUGACGGAGCAACGCCGCGUGAGUGAUGAAGGCCUUCGGGUCGUAAAACUCUGUUGUCAGGGAAGAACAAGUACCGGAGUAACUGCCGGUACCUUGACGGUACCUGACCAGAAAGCCACGGCUAACUACGUGCCAGCAGCCGCGGUAAUACGUAGGUGGCAAGCGUUGUCCGGAAUUAUUGGGCGUAAAGCGCGCGCAGGCGGUCCUUUAAGUCUGAUGUGAAAGCCCACGGCUCAACCGUGGAGGGUCAUUGGAAACUGGGGGACUUGAGUGCAGAAGAGGAAAGCGGAAUUCCACGUGUAGCGGUGAAAUGCGUAGAGAUGUGGAGGAACACCAGUGGCGCAGGCGGCUUUCUGGUCUGUAACUGACGCUGAGGCGCGAAAGCGUGGGGAGCAAAC
RNAcentral lists this ribosomal RNA (425 nucleotides) under uncultured bacterium. Its description in RNAcentral is "bacterial SSU rRNA". It matches the Rfam family "Bacterial small subunit ribosomal RNA", at positions 356 to 773 of the family's 1533-position model. The record is from RNAcentral.